GCAACUGGGUUCAAGCUGUUUUUAAAAAUGUGCAGGCCAAUCAUACACAACGCGACGCAAGCUCCCUUGCAGAAAGUAAAGAAGAUGAUCUGGAAGACUGUGAAGAGUCACGCGAAUGCCAGCAAGAACUGACGUCCACACAGCAUCUAGAAGGAGCACAAAGCCUGGCUGAUUUAGACUCGUCAUCCUCUCGUCCACUUCGUUUCACCCUCUCCUCCACAUGUGCCAACACCUGCAAAUCUUCCACAGCAGGUGGAGGAGAUUGAUGAAGCUCAGACUGUGGAAACCACCAAGACUGGAUUCCAGAGUGACAUCUCUUCUUCCACGGUGGUGCUGUCAGAUGGUGAAGAUUUCAAGGAACAUACAGAUACCGAGACGGCAGCUGAGCAACCGAGUUCACAGGAAUGUGAAACUAAG
Molecule: long non-coding RNA, 417 nt
Organism: Girardinichthys multiradiatus
Lineage: Eukaryota; Metazoa; Chordata; Actinopteri; Cyprinodontiformes; Goodeidae
Exons: 3
Source: RefSeq, a predicted model, not a curated record